GAUGAACGCUGGCGGCGUGCCUAAUACAUGCAAGUCGAGCGAACGGACGAGGAGUUCGCGUCGCUGAUGUUAGCGGCGGACGGGUGAGUAACACGUGGAUAACCUAUCUAUAAGAGUGGAAUAACUUCGAGAAACCGUAGCUAAUACCGGAAAAUAUUUUGAACCGCAUGGUUCAAAAGAGAAAGACGGUCUAGCUGUCACUUAUAGAUGGAUCCGCGUUGCAGUAGCGAGUUGGUAAGGUAACGGCUUACCAAGGCAACGAGGCAUAGCCGACCUGAGCGGGUGGUCGGCCACACUGGAUCUGAGACACGGUCCAGACUCCUACGGGAGGCAGCCGUAGGGAAUCUUCCGCAAUGGGCGAAAGCCUGACGGAGCAACGCCGCGUGAGUGAUGAAGGUCUUCGGAUCGUAAAACUCUGUUAUUAGGGAAGUACAUAUGUGUAAGUAGCUGUGCACAUCUUGACGGUACCUAAUCAGAAAGCCCCGGCUAACUACGUG
Molecule: ribosomal RNA, 497 nt
Filed under: uncultured bacterium
Lineage: Bacteria
Description: partial 16S ribosomal RNA
Rfam family: Bacterial small subunit ribosomal RNA
Source: RNAcentral